CAGUCGCCGCGGGAAUACGAAGGGUGCAAGCGUUAAUCGGAAUUACUGGGCGUAAAGCGUGCGUAGGCGGUGAGUUAAGUCUGCUGUGAAAUCCCCGGGCUCAACCUGGGAAUGGCAUUGGAUACUGGCUCGCUAGAGUGUGUCAGAGGGUGGUAGAAUUCCCGGUGUAGCGGUGAAAUGCGUAGAGAUCGGGAGGAACAUCAGUGGCGAAGGCGGCCAUCUGGGACAACACUGACGCUGAGGCACGAAAGCGUGGGGAGCAAACAGGAUUAGAUACCCGCGUAGUCCCUGUCUCUUAUAC
Molecule: ribosomal RNA, 301 nt
Filed under: uncultured bacterium
Lineage: Bacteria
Description: partial 16S ribosomal RNA
Rfam family: Bacterial small subunit ribosomal RNA
Source: RNAcentral